GCAUGCUAGAUUUAGUGAUAAAUGGUCAGAAUAGUAUAUCAGCAUGACAAACUCCAUGGAUGGCACCCUCCCAGUUUCUGCAUUGAUUGUCACCGUUGCUUAACCCCCGUCUAUGUUAAUGCCUUCUGCAAAACCUUGACAUUACCACUGUUGUUUCUGCAGAAAUGAAAGAAAAGAAAAAAAACACUGUUUUAGAAAUUAAUUGAUAGUACAAUUGUCUCUAAAUCUUGCCGGUGAUUUGUGAAGAUUCAUGUAAAAACCACUUGUGGAGAAUAGGCUUUCAGCUUGUUUGGCUAAUCUUGGAAGUUACUAUUCUCAAAAUGUAUGUAGAAACAAAAAUUAACUUUUAAGUGUUGCCAAACAUGCUCUAUAUAUUGACACUCGAUACUCCACACCAUUAGAACUACAAGGAAAAGGAGGAC
RNAcentral lists this long non-coding RNA (422 nucleotides) under Olea europaea subsp. europaea. The record is from RNAcentral. Lineage: Eukaryota; Viridiplantae; Streptophyta; Magnoliopsida; Lamiales; Oleaceae.